ACAGAGGGUGCAAACGUUGUUCGGAAUUACUGGGCGUAAAGCGCGUGUAGGCGGCAUGGCAAGUCGGGUGUGAAAGCCCUGGGCUCAACCUAGGAAGUGCACUCGAAACUGCCACGCUUGAGUCUUGGAGAGGAAGGCGGAAUUCUCGGUGUAGAGGUGAAAUUCGUAGAUAUCGGGAGGAACACCGGUGGCGAAGGCGGCCUUCUGGACAAUGACUGACGCUGAGACGCGAAAGCGUGGGGAGCAAACAGGA
This 253-nucleotide ribosomal RNA is filed under the name uncultured prokaryote. Its description in RNAcentral is "partial 16S ribosomal RNA". It matches the Rfam family "Bacterial small subunit ribosomal RNA", at positions 525 to 777 of the family's 1533-position model. The record is from RNAcentral.